AUUGAACGCUGGCGGCAUGCCUUACACAUGCAAGUCGAACGGUAACAGGUUAAGCUGACGAGUGGCGAACGGGUGAGUAAUGUAUCGGAACGUGCCCAGUCGUGGGGGAUAACUGCUCGAAAGAGCAGCUAAUACCGCAUACGACCUGAGGGUGAAAGCGGGGGAUCGCAAGACCUCGCGCGGUUGGAGCGGCCGAUAUCAGAUUAGGUAGUUGGUGAGGUAAAGGCUCACCAAGCCGACGAUCUGUAGCUGGUCUGAGAGGACGACCAGCCACACUGGGACUGAGACACGGCCCAGACUCCUACGGGAGGCAGCAGUGGGGAAUUUUGGACAAUGGGCGCAAGCCUGAUCCAGCCGUGCCGCGUGCGGGAAGAAGGCCUUCGGGUUGUAAACCGCUUUUGUCAGGGAAGAAAAGGUUCUGGCUAAUACCUGGGACUCAUGACGGUACCUGAAGAAUAAGCACCGGCUAACUACGUG
This 477-nucleotide ribosomal RNA is filed under the name uncultured bacterium. Its description in RNAcentral is "partial 16S ribosomal RNA". It matches the Rfam family "Bacterial small subunit ribosomal RNA", at positions 30 to 507 of the family's 1533-position model. The record is from RNAcentral.